Molecule: ribosomal RNA, 99 nt
Filed under: uncultured bacterium
Lineage: Bacteria
Description: partial 16S ribosomal RNA
Rfam family: Bacterial small subunit ribosomal RNA
Source: RNAcentral
UACACACCGCCCGUCACACCAUGGGAGUUGCCUGCACCAGAAGUAGGUAGUCUAACCGCAAGGGGGGCGCUUACCACGGUGUGGUCAAUGACUGGGGUG